CCUACGGGAGGCAGCAGUAAGGAAUAUUGGACAAUGGUGGCAACACUGAUCCAGCCAUGCCGCGUGAAGGAUGACGGCCCUAUGGGUUGUAAACUUCUUUUGUAUGGGAAAAAACCUCUUUACGUGUAAAGAGCUGAUUGUACUAUAAGAAUAAGGAUCGGCUAACUCCGUGCCAGCAGCCGCGGUAAUACGGAGGAUCCAAGCGUUAUCCGGAUUCAUUGGGUUUAAAGGGUGCGUAGGCGGGAUUGUAAGUCAGUGGUGAAAGCCUGCAGCUUAACUGCAGAACUGCCAUUGAUACUGCAAACCUUGAGUACAUUUGAUGUGGGCGGAAUGUGUCAUGUAGCGGUGAAAUGCUUAGAUAUGACACAGAACACCGAUUGCGAAGGCAGCUCACAAAACUGUAACUGACGCUGAGGCACGAAAGCGUGGGUAUCAAACAGGAUUAGAUACCCUUGUAGUCCGA
Molecule: ribosomal RNA, 463 nt
Filed under: uncultured Sphingobacteriales bacterium
Lineage: Bacteria; Pseudomonadati; Bacteroidota; Sphingobacteriia; Sphingobacteriales
Description: bacterial SSU rRNA
Rfam family: Bacterial small subunit ribosomal RNA
Source: RNAcentral